Molecule: ribosomal RNA, 1274 nt
Filed under: Photobacterium indicum
Lineage: Bacteria; Pseudomonadati; Pseudomonadota; Gammaproteobacteria; Vibrionales; Vibrionaceae
Description: bacterial LSU rRNA
Rfam family: Bacterial large subunit ribosomal RNA
Source: RNAcentral
AUAGGUUAUAAGUAAUCGUACUCCAAACCGACACAGGUGAUCAGGUAGAGAAUACCAAGGCGCUUGAGAGAACUCGGGUGAAGGAACUAGGCAAAAUGGUACCGUAACUUCGGGAGAAGGUACGCUCCUGGCGGUGAUGAGACUUGCUCUCUAAGCUGCUGGGAGUCGCAGAUACCAGGUGGCUGCAACUGUUUAUUAAAAACACAGCACUGUGCAAAAUCGAAAGAUGACGUAUACGGUGUGACGCCUGCCCGGUGCCGGAAGGUUAAUUGAUGGGGUUAGACGCAAGUCGAAGCUCUUGAUCGAAGCCCCGGUAAACGGCGGCCGUAACUAUAACGGUCCUAAGGUAGCGAAAUUCCUUGUCGGGUAAGUUCCGACCUGCACGAAUGGCGUAAUGAUGGCCACGCUGUCUCCACCCGAGACUCAGUGAAAUUGAAAUCGCAGUGAAGAUGCUGUGUACCCGCGGCUAGACGGAAAGACCCCGUGAACCUUUACUACAGCUUGGCACUGAACAUUGACCCUACAUGUGUAGGAUAGGUGGGAGACUAUGAAAUACGGGCGCUAGUUCGUAUGGAGUCGUCCUUGAAAUACCACCCUUGUAUGCUUGAUGUUCUAACGUUGGCCCCUUAUCGGGGUUGCGGACAGUGCCUGGUGGGUAGUUUGACUGGGGCGGUCUCCUCCCAAAGAGUAACGGAGGAGCACGAAGGUGGGCUAAUCACGGUCGGACAUCGUGAGGUUAGUGCAAUGGCAUAAGCCCGCUUGACUGCGAGAAUGACAAUUCGAGCAGGUGCGAAAGCAGGUCAUAGUGAUCCGGUGGUUCUGAAUGGAAGGGCCAUCGCUCAACGGAUAAAAGGUACUCCGGGGAUAACAGGCUGAUACCGCCCAAGAGUUCAUAUCGACGGCGGUGUUUGGCACCUCGAUGUCGGCUCAUCACAUCCUGGGGCUGAAGUCGGUCCCAAGGGUAUGGCUGUUCGCCAUUUAAAGUGGUACGCGAGCUGGGUUUAGAACGUCGUGAGACAGUUCGGUCCCUAUCUGCCGUGGGCGUUGGAUGAUUGAAGGGGGCUGCUCCUAGUACGAGAGGACCGGAGUGGACGAACCUCUGGUGUUCGGGUUGUUACGCCAGUAGCAUUGCCCGGUAGCUAAGUUCGGAAUCGAUAACCGCUGAAAGCAUCUAAGCGGGAAGCGAGCCCUGAGAUGAGUCAUCCCUGAUACUAUAAGUAUCCUAAAGGGUUGUUGAAGACUACGACGUUGAUAGGCAGGGUGUGUAAGUGCUG